Molecule: ribosomal RNA, 253 nt
Filed under: uncultured bacterium
Lineage: Bacteria
Description: partial 16S ribosomal RNA
Rfam family: Bacterial small subunit ribosomal RNA
Source: RNAcentral
UACGAAGGGGGCUAGCGUUGCUCGGAAUUACUGGGCGUAAAGGGCGCGUAGGCGGACUGUUAAGUUAGAGGUGAAAGCCCAGGGCUCAACCUUGGAAUUGCCUUUGAUACUGGCAGUCUUGAGUACGGAAGAGGUAUGUGGAACUCCGAGUGUAGAGGUGAAAUUCGUAGAUAUUCGCAAGAACACCAGUGGCGAAGGCGGCUCACUGGCCCGAUACUGACGCUGAGGCACGAAAGCGUGGGGAGCAAACAGG